This is a non-coding RNA of Ictidomys tridecemlineatus (thirteen-lined ground squirrel), 5565 nucleotides long. Lineage: Eukaryota; Metazoa; Chordata; Mammalia; Rodentia; Sciuridae. The record is from RefSeq and is a predicted model, not a curated record.
GGUGUCGCGUCGGGUGUUCAGGAACCCUGCGAGCCGGUCGCCAAGCGCAGACUUCCCAGGCCGCCGUGGUCCUGUCAGCCCAGCGAUUUGGGAAGUCGUGGCCGGAGGAUGGCAGGUUGGAGGCCAGCCUCAGCAGCUUAGCGAGGCCCUGUCUUGAAAUGAAAAUAGAAGGGGCUGGGGUGCAGCCCGGAGUGGCGCCCCUGGGCUGGGCCCCUGCGCCUUGUAAACGGCCGGACUGUCUCGCUCCGUCGGCUCUGGGGAGUGGCGUGGCGCCCAGCCCGCGGUCGGCAGGGCCGCCCUGGGCCUUGGGAAGUGUUGGUCCCCGUCCCAUGGCCUGCCCGAGCUACCUGAGGCCCGGGCUCGUGGGUUUUUUUUUUUUCUUUAAGUAUUUUACUUUAUUUUGUGAGGUCAGGCAACGGGCGGUGACCAAAAGAGGCAGGUUUAAAAAAGGCCACUGAAGGAGACUUUAUGGAGACCCACUCCGGGGGGACCGCGGUCAGAUCGUCAGAAUUGACCGGACAAGAGUCUGAGCAGAAACCGUAGGGCCUCCACAGGGCUGGGAUUUUAUGGGGCCUUCAGCAGGAAAAGAGAUUUUUAGGGUCCCUUGUUCCACUGGGAACUGGCUGAACUCCAGGAUUGGCCAGGAGAUCCCGCUGAUCGACAGGUCAGCCAGGAGAUCCCGCUGAUCGACAGGUCAGCCAGGAGAUCCCGCUGAUCGACAGGCGUUUCCGUGGGCGCCUGCUUGACGUUUCUUCCUUUGUUUCUGAGUCCCCGCUGCCCACCUGACAGAUUCUAUCCCCAUCUUUGUGGCCUCUCUGUCUUUGGUAAGUGGAGGUGGACAUACAGAUAGAUGCGACUGCGCAUCUCUAUGCUGCUCCAUUGUUGGCGAUGUCCACUUGGAAGUUGGAACUUGGCAAUGUGGAAGAACUUACACCUUGGAAAUCGGGCAAAUGGUACAAAGCCAAGGCUGGAGUGCUAUUUUUGUUAAUUGUUAGUUAAAAGAAAGAAAAUGUGUGAGGCACUGGGUUCAAUCCUCAGCACAAAAGGAAUGCCUGUAAACCAACGAGAAAAAGGCAGGAGAUCCAGCAGAGAAAAGUGGAAAAGAUGAGGCAGUGCACAGAAGCAUGCCAGAUCCUGGAUUCAGGAAUCGGAUGAAUCUGAAUUAAAACAAGAUGUUGGGUUGGGAGGUGACUCAGUGGUGGAGCACUUGCCUAACAUACACAAGUCCCUGGGUUCAGUCCACAGCACUGUAAAGAGAGAAAGAAGAUGCCCAUUAUACCCAUCAGAUUAUACAAUUAAAAAGUCAUCAAUCUUAAAAACAAAAUACAUGAAUGUCCAAUUGUUCCAAUACCAUUUGUUGAGAAGACUAUCUCCACUGAACUGCUCUUGAACCUUAGCCAUCUAUUGUCCAUGCACGUGUGAGUUCAUUUCUGGAGGUUUCUCUCUUGUUAUAUUCAUCUAGCUUUAUGCCAAUAUCACAUUGUCUUUUUUAAAAAAUACUUUUAUUAUUUAUUUUCAUGUGGUGCUGAGGGUUUAACCAAGUGCCUCGAACAGGCUAGACAAGCGCUCUACCCCUGAGCCACAACCCCAAUGCCCCCACACUGUCUUGAUUAUGAAAACUUCAGACUAAGUCUUGAAAUCAGGCAGUGGUAGUUCUCCAAAUUUGUUCUUCAACAAAGUUGUUUUGGUAUUUUAGGUCCUCUGCAUUUCCAUAUAAACUUAGAAUUGUCUACCAAACACAACAAAAGCUCUUCUGGCAUUUUGGCUGGGAUUGUGUUGAAUCUGUGGAUCAGCAGGAAUGUAGGGAGUCUUGUGAAUGUGGUAUAUACGUUUAUUUUGGUUCCUUUAAAAUCUAUCAGUACCAUUUUGUAUUUUCUAUUGGAUCAGUCUUGCACAUCUUUUGUUUCUAAGGAUUUCACUUAGAUUGCAAAGGGUGUUUUAAAAUUUUAGCUUCUGAGUAUCUGUUGCUAGUUUACGGAAACAUGGUGGAUGUUUGUAUGUAGGGUUUUGCACCCUGCACCCUGCACCCUUACUAACCUCACAUGUUCUAGAAGUCUUACAGAGUCUGGGCCAGAGGCCUGACCAAGGAUCCCACAGAUCUGGUCUGGCCGCUCACGCCAAACCAAGCAGAAAAGGCAGUGGUUACGCACACAAAGGAGCUUUCAUCAGAACAGCUACAUUUAGGAGACGGGGACCUGUGUCCUUAGCCCUGUUGGUUUGGUUUGGUUUAGCAGUACUGAGGAUCAAACCCAGGGUGCUCUGCCUGUGAGCUGCAUUUCCAGCCCUUUUUAUUUUUUGAGACAGGGACUUGCAAGUUGCUGGUCGUCUUGAUCAGGUGAGUUCAGUGUGUCUCAGGAUUGGUGGUGGUGGUGGGGUCUUGUCUAAGAUUAGAAAGUUGCUAUUGCCUGGAGGCAGUCUUAACUCAUCAGAUUUUUGUCAUACCUGUUUCCUGGAAUCCCAGGUAGCUCAGAGGAAAUGGGGCGGAGGCAAAAUGGAGGUAGAGAGGCCAAGCCGUGUGUGUGUGUGUGUGUGUGUGUGUGUGUGUGUGUGUGUGUGUGUGUAUGAGUGUAUGACUCGCUGCAAGGGAUCAAAUCCAGGGGCAUGCUAUCACCUAGCCACAUACUCAUCAGCCCUUUUUAGAUUUUAUUUUGAGGCAGGGUCUCAUUAUGUUGCCCAGGCUGGCCUUGAAUCUGCUGUCCUGCUACCUCAGCUACCUGAAUAGCAGGGCUUACAGGUGUAGCCACCUCUCCUGGAACAAGGUCUUUAGGCCUGCCUUUAGCCACCCAUCAGACAUUUGCAGACCCAGGUGAAGCAUCAGAGCCCUGUCACAGGCUCUUUUUUGGUAGAUCCUGUAGUUUCCUGCGAAGAAGGAAAUCACCUGUGAAUGUGUUCUUGAGGCUUCAGGUGUGCAGAAGCCAGGACAGUGAGUGGCACCAGGCUUCUGCAAAAAGAAAAGCUUCUUUGGGCAGCUUUAUUUUUUAAGCUAAGUCUUGCCUACGUCCCAUGCGGGCGGUAGAGUGGGAGUGGGAGUUCUGCGUGGAAUGUGAACUGGCUGUGAAAUAAAGCUAAGAAAAGAGGGUGGUACAAGAGUAAUUUUGAAAAGUGAGGGCAGGAUGGCUCUAUGACCUUAGGGGUCCAGCUUCUACACUGGAAAUAGACCAAGUGAGCCACUUUUAGGGAACAGAAUGUUCUUCACCAAAUAAGGCAGGAGGUGGGCUGUCCAAACCCAGUGGGUUACUCCCAAUUCCAGAGCUACAGAGCUGUCCCAUUGGUAGAGCAGGGCACAGAUCUCACGCCUUGGGCAGUCUGCACACGGAAAUUCCAGGAUCAUUCCCAAGGGGAGACCCAAGUUCUCCAUGGCUCAGUACUGAGUAAAAGAAACUCAGGUGGCUUCACAGGUCAUGUACCACAGCUAAGGACCAAAGAAAAGCCAAAAAGCUUUUUUGUUCAAUGUUUUAGCUUUAAGGCUUAAUGGACUGGUAAGGAGGCCAGGGGCCUCCCUGUUGGAUGCUUAGUGAAGAAAUUGACAGGAAGUGGGGAAAGUUGAUGCAGUGCUGGCGUCUUUGGGGGAGUUAUGUUCUAUGCACAGGAUUUGGAGUUUGUCACAUCUUUUGAGUGGACACUGGCUGCAUAUGGUCAUUUCCACUCUUGAAAAGUCAGUUCUAUACCUUCACAUCAGUGAGAGACCUAGAGGCUUGUCCUGAAGUUCAUCCAAUGAUACUAGGGAUAAAAGCUAUAUCCCCAGCCCUGGCAUGACGGACUCCUCAUGGCAGCCUGUGCUUGCUGCCCACAUAGCUACCACUCUGCCACUUCACUGUUCCCCUACCCCUUCUCAGCAGGGACAGUGGGCUGGCUGCAGGGCUUGGUGGCCAGGGAGCCAUGUCAGUAAUGGUGGUGGAUACUCACGUCUUCGUAUAAAAGGUGGAUACCUAUACCCAGUGAGUGGUAGUGGGUGGAUACUUCUACCUGGUGAGUGGUAGCAGGGUGGACACCUCUAUCCAGUGAGUGGUAGGUAGUGGACACCUCCACCUGGUGAGUGGUACAUUGUAUAGUCUCUCUUUCCCUGUGAUCAUUAGUAUCAUUUUUUUAUAUAGUUUUGUCCCUUUUUAUUUAACCCUUUUUUUCUUCUUGGUAGUGGGGAUUCUACUUAGGGGUACCUCACUGAGUUAUAUUCCCAAUCCUUUAAAACAUUUUUUAAAAAUUUUAAAACUGGGGCUGGGGAUGUGGCUCAAGCGGUAGCGCGUUUGCCUAGCAUGCGUGCGGUGCUGGGUUCGAUCCUCAGCACCACAUACAAAUAAAAGAUGUUAUGUCCGCCAAAAACUAAAAAAUAAAUAUUAAAAAAUUCUUCCUCAAAAAAAAAAAAAACUUUAAAACUGGGUCUUGCUUAAGCUGCCAAGACUGGCUUCAAACCUGUGGUGCUGCUGCCUCAAUCUCCUGAAUCGCUCCACUCACCUCCAUGGGCCACUGUGCCCAGGUAAAUCUUCAUGUUUGAGUUUUUAAAAAAUGUUCUCUAUUUUUAUGUCCCAAGGCAAGUGUCACCCUAAUCCCUGCAUGCCUGCCUGCCUGCCUCUAGCUACCUCUACUCUCCCCCACCCCCAUUUCUUUGGGUUUUAUACUGGAGAUUGAAAACCAUGAGUGCUCUACUACUGAGCUACAUCCUUAGUCUUUGUAUUUUUAUGUGGAGACAGCAACUCAGUACAUUGUCCAGGCUGAUCUCAAACUUGUGCUCCUCCUGCACCAGCCUUCCAUGUAGCUGAGAAAUAGGUGUUGAGAGCCUCAGCCAAGUCGGGAUGGCGCCUGGCAUUUUGCCAGAAGGAGUGGUUGGGAGGUGACGCCAGCAAGCCAAUGGGAUGAUGAAACAUCUUUCUAGGAAAAUAUGACUAAACCAUUAUAUAACUUCACUGCUACAGGAGAAUCAUGGUAAAUAGUUUGCCAGUCAGUCCAGGAACCAGCUCACCUCAGAGCCUUCAUCUGGAUGCAUCUGUGACUUUUAUCACUGGCUGAGGGCUGGUCCCAUCACAGCAAGGUCCUGCACUGGAAGACAGACCAUCAACCACCCGAGCCCAGACUGAAGUCCAUAAAUUCCUCUCAGGCCGCCCACGUGGAGCAGAGGAUCCUCUGCCAAGAUGCAGUCCUCACUGCUACUGUCAGUUGGUAAACUCAUCUGUGCUCAUUGCACAAGUUUUUGCUGGGUUAUUGGCAGUGAAUGAUCCUGAAGGUUCCUGACAUCCUUUCGAGCCCCACUCAUGCUUCAGAACAAGUCUGCCCUUCAGGACCAGCACCCUCCUCUUGAUCCUUACACUUGGCUCCACAGCAUGGGCUGCUGUGAUGCUGUAGGGAGCCCGUCUGGUGAGCAUAUGCUCCUGCAUGCCCAGCGGAAACCUCUGUACAAAAGCUCUGAUGGUUUGAUCAGACCGUGAGUGCUUUUACUCUGGGACAUUGCCUUGCUGCUCUACCCUGAUCCUCGUCUUUUCAGGAAGAGGAUGGAUGGAUGAAUAGCAUGCAGGAAGCCAUCACUUGAGUGGCUCCAAGUGCUAAUGAGAUUAGAGGGUCUUGUAAACCGCC